This 1885-nucleotide ribosomal RNA is filed under the name human metagenome. RNAcentral describes it as "bacterial LSU rRNA". It matches the Rfam family "Bacterial large subunit ribosomal RNA", at positions 3 to 1979 of the family's 2925-position model. The record is from RNAcentral.
UCAAGCUAAUAAGGGCGCAGGGCGAAUGCCUUGGCAUCCAGAGCCGAAGAAGGACGUGGUAAGCUGCGAAAAGCUACGGGGAGCCGCAAGCAGGCUUUGAUCCGUAGAUGUCCGAAUGGAGCAAUCCGGCAUGAGUCAUGUCAUGUCAUCUCAUACUGAACACAUAGGUAUGAGAGGGGAACCUCCUGAACUGAAACAUCUAAGUAGGGAGAGGAAGAGAAAUCAACCGAGAUUCCGUAAGUAGUGGCGAGCGAACGCGGAAGAGGCCAAACCAGGGGUAGAAAUACCUUUGGGGUUUUGGACUGCAAUUAGUGAGGUCAGGCUAGUCGAAGUGCAUGGGAAGGCACACCGAAGAAUGUGAAAGUCAUGUAGACGAAAGCAGAGCCGAGCGAGCAGGAUCCAGAGUACCGCGGGACACGUGAAACCCCGUGGGAAGAUGGGGGGACCACCCUCCAAGCCUAAACACUGUGGAUGACCGAUAGCGAAUAGUACUGUGAAGGAACGGUGAAAAGCACCCCGGGAGGGGAGUGAAAGAGAACCUGAAACCCUGUGCCUACAAGCACAUAGAGCACGUCAAAGUGUGAUAUGGUACCUAUUGUAGAAUGGUCCGGCGAGUGUGCAUAGCUAGCAAGGUUAAGGACUUCAGGUCCGGAGCCGAAGCGAGAGCGAGUCUGAAUAGGGCGAGUAAGUUAGCUGUGCACGACCCGAAACCGGGUGACCUACCCAUGUCCAGGCUGAAGUGGAGGUAAAACUCCAUGGAGGGCCGAACCGACCUCCGUUGAAAAGGCGGCGGAUGAGGUGUGGGUAGCGGAGAAAUUCCAAUCGAACUCGGAUAUAGCUGGUUCUCCCCGAAAUAGCUUUAGGGCUAGCCUUGUAUUAGAUUCCCGGAGGUAAAGCACUGAAUGGACUAGGGGUCGAGAGAUUACCGAAUCCUAUCAAACUAAGAAUGCCGGAGAAUUGAUGUACAGGAGUCAGACCGUGUGAGAUAAGUUUCACGGUCAAAAGGGAAAGAGCCCAGACCCACAGCUAAGGUCCCUAAACAGAUUUAAGUGGAAAAGGAUGUGGAACUGCUAAAACAACCAGGAUGUUGGCUUAGAAGCAGCCAUACAUUAAAAGAGUGCGUAAUAGCUCACUGGUCGAGUGGUUCUGCGCCGAAAAUUCAACGGGGCUAAAAUCUGUACCGAAGCUUGGGCUUGAUAACGAAUGUUAUCAGGGGUAGGGGAGCGUCGUAUAAGGAGCGAAGUAUGAGCGCAAGCGCAUGUGGACUUUAUACGAGUGAGAAUGCCGGAAUGAGUAGCGAGAAUUAUGUGAGAAUCAUAAUGGCCGAAAGACUAAGGUUUUAGGAGGAAGGUUCGUCCGCUCCUAGUAAGCCGGGAGCUAAGGCGAGGCCGAAAGGCGUAGUCGAUGCAGAUACGGUUGAGAUUCCGUAGCCUCCAAAAGAUUUAAGCAAGGGGACACUUCCAAAAGGGAAUGAGCCGGGCGAUGGUAGACCCGGUCGUAAGGGACCGAAAUAAAGUAGGGAAGCAUUUCUGAUGGGAGGCGAGAAAAGCCUUGUGUAUAUCUUCGGAGCCCGUACCGCAAACCGACACAGGUAGUCAGGAAGAGGAUUCUAAGGCCAACGGGAGAAGGGUUGUUAAGGAACUCGGCAAGUUGAUCCCGUAACUUCGGAAGAAGGGAUGCUCAGAAAUGAGCCGCAGAGAAUCGGCCCAGGCGACUGUUUAGCAAAAACACAGCUCUCUGCUAAAUCGAAAGAUGAAGUAUAGGGGGUGACACCUGCCCGGUGCCGGAAGGUUAAGAGGAGGGGUGCAAGCUCUGAAUUGAAGCCCCGGUCAACGGCGGCCGUAACUAUAACGGUCCUAAGGUAGCGAAAUUCCUUGUCAGGUAA